This is a long non-coding RNA of Zingiber officinale, 256 nucleotides long. RefSeq lists it as uncharacterized. The record is from RefSeq and is a predicted model, not a curated record. NCBI's taxonomy places the organism in Eukaryota, Viridiplantae, Streptophyta, Magnoliopsida, Zingiberales, Zingiberaceae. The transcript is spliced from 3 exons.
CGACAACAAGAUGCCAAACAAUGUGGUUACUAUGUGAUGCGAUUUAUGAGACAAAUUGUUGAAGAAGUUGAAAUUAUUGAAAGAGAUUCACUACGAUCUAUAUUCACACAAGCAGAGUAUUCUCGAGAAGAAAUUGAUGAGGUGCGAUCGGAGUUGGAAGAAUGUAUACAAGAUCAUAUUUAUGAGUAGGUGGAUACAGGACAGUCGAGAUCAGUACACUAAGGAGCGUAUGGAUUCAGUAAUUGAUCAGUACACU